CCGAUGAUCAAUCUUUCGAGAGAGUGAUUCGGUGGAAAGUGGCGGAAGGGUGAGUAACGCGUGGGUAAGCUGCCUCGAAGUUGGGGACAACCCCGCGAAAGCGGGGCUAAUACCGAAUGUGGUCCUGCAGCACAUGUUGCGGUGACUAAAGGCGGGGAUCCUUCGGGACCUGCCGCUUUGAGAGGUGCCCGCGUGCCAUCAGCUUGUUGGUAGGGUAACGGCCUACCAAGGCUUACGGCUAGCCGGCCUGAGAGGGUGAUCGGCCACACUGGGACUGAGACACUGCCCAGACUCCUACGGGAGGCUGCAGUCGAGGAUCAUUCGCAAUGCGCGAAAGCGUGACGAUGCGACGCUGCGUGGAGGAUGAAGGCCUUCGGGUUGUAAACUCCUGUCAUGAGGGAAAAGCUGCCUUACUCCGAAUAAGGGUAAGGCUCGAUGGUACCUCAAGAGGAAGCCACGGCUAACUCUGUGCCAGCAGCCGCGGUAAUACAGAGGUGGCGAGCGUUGUUCGGAUUUA
Molecule: ribosomal RNA, 517 nt
Filed under: uncultured bacterium
Lineage: Bacteria
Description: bacterial SSU rRNA
Rfam family: Bacterial small subunit ribosomal RNA
Source: RNAcentral